CCUACGGGAGGCAGCAGUGAGGAAUAUUGGACAAUGGACGAAAGUCUGAUCCAGCUAUGCCGCGUGCAGGAUGACGGCCCUAUGGGUUGUAAACUGCUUUUAUACAGGAAGAAAAACUCCGACGUGUCGGAACUUGACGGUACUGUAAGAAUAAGGAUCGGCUAACUCCGUGCCAGCAGCCGCGGUAAUACGGAGGAUCCAAGCGUUAUCCGGAAUCAUUGGGUUUAAAGGGUCCGUAGGCGGUUUUUUAAGUCAGAGGUGAAAUCCUGCAGCUCAACUGUAGAAUUGCCCUUGAUACUGAAAGACUUGAGU
Molecule: ribosomal RNA, 312 nt
Filed under: uncultured bacterium
Lineage: Bacteria
Description: bacterial SSU rRNA
Rfam family: Bacterial small subunit ribosomal RNA
Source: RNAcentral